AACGGACGCUGGCGGCAUGCCUAACACAUGCAAGUCGAACGAGACCUUCGGGUCUAGUGGCGCACGGGUGCGUAACGCGUGGGAACCUGCCCUUAGGUUCGGAAUAACUCCCCGAAAGGGGUGCUAAUACCGGAUAAUGUCUUCGGACCAAAGAUUUAUCGCCUUUGGAUGGGCCCGCGUUGGAUUAGCUAGUUGGUAGAGUAAAAGCCUACCAAGGCGACGAUCCAUAGCUGGUCUGAGAGGAUGAUCAGCCACACUGGGACUGAGACACGGCCCAGACUCCUACGGGAGGCAGCAGUGGGGAAUAUUGGACAAUGGGCGAAAGCCUGAUCCAGCAAUGCCGCGUGAGUGAUGAAGGCCUUAGGGUUGUAAAGCUCUUUUAACCGGGAUGAUAAUGACAGUACCGGGAGAAUAAGCUCCGGCUAACUCCGUG
This 433-nucleotide ribosomal RNA is filed under the name uncultured bacterium. RNAcentral's name for it is "partial 16S ribosomal RNA". It matches the Rfam family "Bacterial small subunit ribosomal RNA", at positions 29 to 507 of the family's 1533-position model. The record is from RNAcentral.